This is a long non-coding RNA of Papaver somniferum (opium poppy), 1005 nucleotides long. RefSeq lists it as uncharacterized. Lineage: Eukaryota; Viridiplantae; Streptophyta; Magnoliopsida; Ranunculales; Papaveraceae. The record is from RefSeq and is a predicted model, not a curated record. The transcript has 4 exons.
AUAUCUCCGCCUCUAUCUCUUCGCCUCCCCCACCAUCACGAAAGACAAAAUUAAAAAUGAGAAUCAGGAACCCUAACUCGAUCUCUUCUUUUUAUCCAUCUAAACUCAUCAAAUGAAUCUGAAAACUUGGAUUCACUAUAACUCUUUCGACCACCGAAAUCUAUAGAGGAAUAUUACUCAUCUAUUGCUGCUACUUCGAGUAUUUCUGCAACAGCUUUUUAUUCAACUAGGUCAAAGUUCAGAUGUUCAAAAUGUUUUGAAACCUCCUCCUGGUGCAGUAAAGGAAUUGAAGUUAGCAAUCAAGAAGAAAACAAAUGAAAUCAAAUAAUAAAAAAUGGGUCAUCAUCAUAUUUCAUGGAGGCAUGUAUGGGGUAACUUCUGCCUUUUGUACCACAAUGAGAAGCUAAUACACGACAAGUCUAUGCUUCAAGAUUUUGGCAUGCGUAUCCAUAGUACCUGGCUUCUCUUGGUUGCAGUCUCUCAUUACUUAUGGCAUGUAGUUAAGGGAAUUAUGUUGUUCGACUUGGUCACCAUUUGAUAUUCUAUAAAUAUAUGCAUCAGUUUGGUCUUUAUAUAUAUUGUUCAAACUUUUCAAAUUGUCCUGGUAAGAUCUUCACAGGCUUGCAAAUUUAGGAGAACUAUUUGUUGUUGGGUUGUUGUCAUUGGUUGACCUAGUAGGCACACUGAAGGACUUCAUGCAAUGAUACAAGCGCAAGCUGAAAGAAUUCAAGCCUAAGAUAAACAAAUAUGCGCACAGAAUGAAUCUAUCAAAAUGAGAAGUUCACACUAAACAUGACCCGGGAACAACAGAAUCUGAUGCGUAGACUCGGGCCAAAUAAUAUUAUCGCAGGUGGAACAACUGAAAAUCGAAUGCCGGAUUAUGUGUCACCUGUCAAAUGUAUUAUAUAUUUUUAUUAGUAGGAGUGGAGUUUAUUUAUACAAUGUUCUUAUUUUGAUAUUGUUUUAAUAAUUUAUUUUAAUGGCUCAUCAUUAUUUUUUAUUCUA